UACAGAGGGUGCUAGCGUUAUUCGGAUUAACUGGGCGUAAAGCGCAUGUAGGUUGUUUAGCAAGUCUCGUGUGAAAGCCUCCGUUUUAAGCGGAGAAGUGCACGAGAUACUACUAGACUAGAGUACAGGAGGGGGAAGCGGAAUUCCAGGUGUAGAGGUGAAAUUCGUAGAUAUCUGGAGGAACAACGGCGGCGAAGGCGGCUUCCUGGACUGUUACUGACACUGAGAUGCGAAAGCGUGGGGAGCAAACAGG
RNAcentral lists this ribosomal RNA (253 nucleotides) under uncultured bacterium. RNAcentral's name for it is "partial 16S ribosomal RNA". It matches the Rfam family "Bacterial small subunit ribosomal RNA", at positions 524 to 776 of the family's 1533-position model. The record is from RNAcentral.